This 497-nucleotide ribosomal RNA is filed under the name uncultured bacterium. Its description in RNAcentral is "partial 16S ribosomal RNA". It matches the Rfam family "Bacterial small subunit ribosomal RNA", at positions 28 to 507 of the family's 1533-position model. The record is from RNAcentral.
GAUGAACGCUGGCGGCGUGCCUAAUACAUGCAAGUCGAGCGAACGGACGAGAAGCUUGCUUCUCUGAUGUUAGUGGCGGACGGGUGAGUAACACGUGGAUAACCUACCUAUAAGACUGGGAUAACUUCGGGAAACCGGAGCUAAUACCGGAUAAUAUUUUGAACCGCAUGGUUCAAAAGUGAAAGACGGUCUUGCUGUCACUUAUAGAUGGAUCCGCGCUGCAUUAGCUAGUUGGUAAGGUAACGGCUUACCAAGGCAACGAUGCAUAGCCGACCUGAGAGGGUGAUCGGCCACACUGGAACUGAGACACGGUCCAGACUCCUACGGGAGGCAGCAGUAGGGAAUCUUCCGCAAUGGGCGAAAGCCUGACAGAGCAACGCCGCGUGAGUGAUGAAGGUCUUCGGAUCGUAAAACUCUGUUAUUAGGGAAGAACAUAUGUGUAAGUAACUGUGCACAUCUUGACGGUACCUAAUCAGAAAGCCACGGCUAACUACGUG